RNAcentral lists this transfer RNA (25 nucleotides) under Capra hircus (goat). RNAcentral's name for it is "partial tRNA-Arg". The record is from RNAcentral. Lineage: Eukaryota; Metazoa; Chordata; Mammalia; Artiodactyla; Bovidae.
UGGUAUUUAGUUUAAAAUAAAAUAA